Molecule: ribosomal RNA, 775 nt
Filed under: uncultured Neocallimastigales
Lineage: Eukaryota; Fungi; Neocallimastigomycota; Neocallimastigomycetes; Neocallimastigales
Description: partial large subunit ribosomal RNA
Rfam family: Eukaryotic large subunit ribosomal RNA
Source: RNAcentral
CGCAUCUGUGCAUGCAGCAUAUCAAUAAGCGGAGGAAAAGAAACUAACAAGGAUUCCCCUAGUAACGGCGAGUGAAGCGGGAAGAGCUCAAAUUUGAAAUCUUAAAGGGUUUCCCUUUACGAAUUGUAGUUUAAAGAGGUGUUUUCUGUUGAGGUUUUGGUAAAAGUUCUUUGGAAUAGGACAUCAUAGAGGGUGAGAAUCUCGUAUUUGACCUUUACUUUCAACUUUGUGAUACACUUUCAAAGAGUCGGAUUGUUUGGGAAUGCAGUCCAAAAUGGGUGGUAAAUUUCAUCUAAAGCUAAAUAUUGGCGAGAGACCGAUAGCGAACAAGUACCGUGAGGGAAAGAUGAAAAGAACUUUGAAAAGAGAGUUAAACAGUACGUGAAAGUUGUCAAAAGGGAAGCGUUUGACACCAGUGUUGUUUUUCUGAAAAUCAAUUAAAGAACUGUUUAUGCUAAGUUGUUUAGACUUUAUCAGCUAUCUGUUUAGUUUUAGGCUUUUCUUUAAUGCACUUUUCAGUUAACAAGUCAACAUCAAUUUCUUUUGCUGUAAAAAAGCUUGAGGAAGGUGGCUUGAGAUUCGUCUUAAGUGUUUAUAGCCUCUUGCCUAUGCAGUCGGAGAGAUUGAGGUCUGCAGCGUAGAUCCUUCGGGGCUAAAUGCAUUUGUGCUAAGUUAUAACAUUUUAUAGACAACUUGUUGACUAUGAUUUGUCUUGUAGCUUACUCGCUUAUGUUAUUUUACCUACGCUUAGGAUGUUGAACGCGCACAGAGUCUC